AAUCCAAGAAAUGCUGUAGUCUAGUUAAACAUCAACCUCCUGGUUUUUGUUUUGUUCUAGCGUCAUUACAGAUGUUACCUUCAGGGAAUCUGAGUGAAGGCACAUGGAAUUCCUCUGCACUCUGUGGACAUCCUCCUGUGAGCUGCGCAUCCUCCUGUGAACCUCUACUUAACUCAAAAGAUUCUGAGGACACCAUCUCUCCUUGUUCUCCUGAGUUUUCAAGGAGAGGGUUUUUACUUGGAGCCAGGACAAGAACACUGCUGCGUCUCAGCUGUGCCAAAUGAGAACCACAU
This 293-nucleotide long non-coding RNA is filed under the name Macaca mulatta (Rhesus monkey). RNAcentral's name for it is "lncRNA (ENSMMUG00000039829.2)". The record is from RNAcentral. Lineage: Eukaryota; Metazoa; Chordata; Mammalia; Primates; Cercopithecidae.